GACGAACGCUGGCGGCGUGCUUAACACAUGCAAGUCGAACGAAGAGCGAUGGAAGCUUGCUUCUAUCAAUCUUAGUGGCGAACGGGUGAGUAACGCGUAAUCAACCUGCCCUUCAGAGGGGGACAACAGUUGGAAACGACUGCUAAUACCGCACACGAUCUAAUCUCGGCAUCGAGGAUAGAUGAAAGGUGGCCUCUACAUGUAAGCUAUCACUGAAGGAGGGGAUUGCGUCUGAUUAGCUAGUUGGAGGGGUAACGGCCCACCAAGGCGAUGAUCAGUAGCCGGUCUGAGAGGAUGAACGGCCACAUUGGGACUGAGACACGGCCCAGACUCCUACGGGAGGCAGCAGUGGGGAAUCUUCCGCAAUGGACGAAAGUCUGACGGAGCAACGCCGCGUGAGUGAUGACGGCCUUCGGGUUGUAAAGCUCUGUUAAUCGGGACGAAAGGCCUUCUUGCGAAUAGUGAGAAGGAUUGACGGUACCGGAAUAGAAAGCCACGGCUAACUACGUG
This 510-nucleotide ribosomal RNA is filed under the name uncultured bacterium. Its description in RNAcentral is "partial 16S ribosomal RNA". It matches the Rfam family "Bacterial small subunit ribosomal RNA", at positions 28 to 507 of the family's 1533-position model. The record is from RNAcentral.